Molecule: non-coding RNA, 353 nt
Organism: Cinara cedri
Lineage: Eukaryota; Metazoa; Arthropoda; Insecta; Hemiptera; Aphididae
Source: the annotation of a GenBank genome assembly
AUUCUGUAAUAUAUAUUUUUUUCUAUAAAAUGUACAAUUUAUUAAUACUACUAGACUCCAUAUUUCCUAAGUGGAGUAUUCCAUAUUUUUUUAUAAGGCGGAUGCCAAAAACCUUUACUGCUGAGAAUUUUUUAUUAAAAGACCUUUAUUAUCAAUGGUUCAACCAUUAAAUCAUUUAAUAUUGUAUAAUAUGAUCUAAAGUUCUACCUAACUUUAACAAGAGAGCUAGCAUAUUAGUGGUAUUUUUAUCAUUGGUAAAAUAAGAACGUAAAACUUUUCAAAUAAACCUAUUGAUCUAUUCUACUAAACGUGAUUUAUUAAUUUAUAAUUUAUAACGGCAAUACGUAGUCUGU